Molecule: ribosomal RNA, 606 nt
Filed under: Pseudomonas extremaustralis
Lineage: Bacteria; Pseudomonadati; Pseudomonadota; Gammaproteobacteria; Pseudomonadales; Pseudomonadaceae
Description: bacterial SSU rRNA
Rfam family: Bacterial small subunit ribosomal RNA
Source: RNAcentral
CGAGCGGUAGAGAGAAGCUUGCUUCUCUUGAGAGCGGCGGACGGGUGAGUAAUGCCUAGGAAUCUGCCUGGUAGUGGGGGAUAACGUUCGGAAACGGACGCUAAUACCGCAUACGUCCUACGGGAGAAAGCAGGGGACCUUCGGGCCUUGCGCUAUCAGAUGAGCCUAGGUCGGAUUAGCUAGUUGGUGAGGUAAUGGCUCACCAAGGCGACGAUCCGUAACUGGUCUGAGAGGAUGAUCAGUCACACUGGAACUGAGACACGGUCCAGACUCCUACGGGAGGCAGCAGUGGGGAAUAUUGGACAAUGGGCGAAAGCCUGAUCCAGCCAUGCCGCGUGUGUGAAGAAGGUCUUCGGAUUGUAAAGCACUUUAAGUUGGGAGGAAGGGCAGUUACCUAAUACGUGAUUGUUUUGACGUUACCGACAGAAUAAGCACCGGCUAACUCUGUGCCAGCAGCCGCGGUAAUACAGAGGGUGCAAGCGUUAAAUCGGGAUUUACUGACCGUAAAGCGCGCGUAGGUGGUUUGUUAAGUUGGAUGUGAAAUCCCCGGGCUCAACCUGGGGAACUGCAUUCAAAACUGACUGACUAGAGUAUGGUAGAGGGUGG